Molecule: ribosomal RNA, 425 nt
Filed under: uncultured Oscillospiraceae bacterium
Lineage: Bacteria; Bacillati; Bacillota; Clostridia; Eubacteriales; Oscillospiraceae
Description: bacterial SSU rRNA
Rfam family: Bacterial small subunit ribosomal RNA
Source: RNAcentral
GUGGGGAAUAUUGCACAAUGGGGGGAACCCUGAUGCAGCGAUGCCGCGUGGAGGAAGAAGGUUUUCGGAUUGUAAACUCCUGUCGUAAGGGACGAUAAUGACGGUACCUUACAAGAAAGCUCCGGCUAACUACGUGCCAGCAGCCGCGGUAAUACGUAGGGAGCGAGCGUUGUCCGGAAUUACUGGGUGUAAAGGGAGCGUAGGCGGGACGGCAAGUCAGAUGUGAAAUAUACGUGCUCAACAUGUAGACUGCAUUUGAAACUGUCGUUCUUGAGUGAGGUAGAGGUAAGCGGAAUUCCUGGUGUAGCGGUGAAAUGCGUAGAGAUCAGGAGGAACAUCGGUGGCGAAGGCGGCUUACUGGGCCUUUACUGACGCUGAGGCUCGAAAGCGUGGGGAGCAAACAGGAUUAGAUACCCUGGUAGUCC